CAGCCACAUCCGAAAGUUUUC
Molecule: microRNA, 21 nt
Filed under: Mus musculus (house mouse)
Lineage: Eukaryota; Metazoa; Chordata; Mammalia; Rodentia; Muridae
Description: mmu-miR-693-5p
Gene: mmu-miR-693-5p
Source: miRBase by way of RNAcentral